AGUUCCUGAGAAAGUAACAGAAAAAAUUGGAGACUUCAAAAGUAGAGCAGUUCAGAAGAUGAUCAUGUCAAAAGAUGUGGUUAUCGUAAUGGUGGCUGUGUGAUUAAGGAAUUUGAUCUUCAGGAGGUUAACAAAAAAGAGAAACUGGUGUAAUGGCUGCAAUGUCCAGGUGAACUCAGAAAUUACCUGGAGGAUGACAGGAGGUGUCAUAAAGACAAAUGCUGAAAUAGUUUAAAAUAUUCAAUGCAUGAAGAGAAAACUUUGAGAACUUGGUAAAAUUAGGACCAAAGAUAAAGGAAGGAAAAGGUUAUGUAACUUUUUGAUAUGAGGCUCUAAGGAGCAGGUUUUCUCUUGUGGAUGAAGUAGUAAUGACAUCAGGCAACAUGGACAGAAUUACAACAGUUAGACCAUUCACUGACCUAGAAAGAAUGUCUUAGCUGAGACACUUCUUAGUAAGAUUUUCUAAUCCAAAAUCUAACUUUUUUUUGACUCUACAUGGUUAAAACUUCCACUCGGACGAACUCAAUCACCUAAUUAUUCCUGGUAACUUCUAUGUCUUUAACUUAGCUUUAAAACUGAUAUAAUUAUAUAAGUUAUUUUUAAUUAGAAAGAUUGUAUUGAAAAAAGAGUUCAGCAUAUUUCAUAUUUCAUAAAAUUUGCAUUUUUGUAUUUUUAUAAAAUUCAUAUUUUUAAUGUUUGUGUUUGGUUUGGGUUAGCUCAUUUUAAGGAGCUAUCACUUUAAUAAUCUACUUUGAGCUCGCUAUCCAUGUAGAAUACUUCAAUUUCAUUGUUGCUUUUAUUUAUUGCUUUGGGUACACUUACAUUAAUAAUGGGGAUCUGUGUUAUAACAAGAGACAGGACAAAUGCAACUUAUUAAAUACUGUUGUAUUUCUAAACUUUCUUUUGCUUUUGUCUCUCAAGGAGUUUCCCAAAUUCAACUUUGGAAAACUGAUUACCUAAUAUAGAGAUAACUUUAUCUACUAAAGAAAAGAUUCUACCCAUGGCUCCAUUUGUUCCCGAGUCACUGGUGACUGGCAGAGGUACAGGCUUGUGGUCUGUGAAUACACUUUCUACCAAGUAUAUUUCUUUUCUUAUUAGUGACAGAAAUUCUGUUGCACACAAUUUUUGAGAACAAAUUACUUUCACCUACUUUCAUAAUCUGGUGAAGCAUGUACUCCCACUUCUUGAUCUUAGCAUAACAUUGAAUGGGCCCCCUACUCUGGGCCUGGCUGCUGAAUCUGAACUGAUGCUCAGAUUCCAAAGCACCAAAAAAUUAUAUUAAUAGUUGCAUCUGAAGUAUCAUCAGUGGCACAUUCUCCAGGUCUAGCCUUUAACUCUUGAGCCAACUCCUAGGUAAUUCCCUGAAUUAAUAUUAAGAGUAUCCAAAACACAUGUUGAACAUCCAAUCUCUCAAAUAUAUAUUUUUUAUAGAUCGCACUUAAUUCUCUCUUGCAAAUUGUAUUCAAUCACAAAGGCACAGCUCUUUAGCUUUUGUCCUUUAUUAGUAUAUCUUCCCUGGAAAAAUGUAUCCUGUACAAAUUUGUGAUCUUCUACCCGCUAUAACUUAAAAAGAUUUCUGCAUUUUCUCCAUGGUAAUCACAUUUUCUGUAUGUCCUUUUAUUAGCAUUUUCAACCUAUUUCUUUGUGCAUAUUAAACAUACAGGUAAGUCAAAAGUCAGAAAUAAGCACCAAGACAGGAAAUGCAAUGUAGAUGAAAGAAAAAAAUGAUGUAAGACACUACAUGUCCCUACAUGAAAGCCAAUGCUAUUUGUUUGAAUUAGAUAGAGUUAGGUACUUUUGCUCAGGAUCAUAGUUCGGAAGUUUGAGGAUCUUUACAGUUUUAGACGCAAGCUUCACUGAAAUAAAACUGGAUACACAGAUAUAUAUUUCAGCCUUUUAGUCUGGGCAAUGAAAAGUAGAUGGUGCACAAUGAGUCUCUAUGCCAAAUAUCUUUCUUCUCUUGACUUUUUGCUGAUGUGUUGCAAGCAUUUGUGAUUCUUUAUGUGUAUGUAUGUGCAUUCAUGUACAUAAACUUGUCUGCUAGUUAUUACCCUGAAAUCUAAAAAUUUAUAUCGUAUUUUUGCUCAGAAUUAUGAGAAUAAUAUGUCUUGACACAAACAAAUGGAAAAACAUUCCAUGCUCAUGGAUUGGAAAAAAUCAAUAUUGCUAAAAUGGUUAUACUGCCCAAAGGAAUCUAGUUUCAAUACUAUUCCUGUCGAACUACCAAUGUCAUUUUUCACAGAAUUAGAAAAAACUUUUCAAAAAUUUAUAUGGAACCUAAAAUGAGCCUGAAUAGCUAAAGCAAUCUUAACCAAAAAGAACAAAGUCUGAGGUAUUACAUUACCUGACUUCAAACUAUACUAUAAGGCUUUAGUAAACAAGACAGCAUGGUCCUGGUACUAAAACAGACACAUAGAUCAAUGGAACCCAGAACAGAGAACUCACAAAUAAAGCCACACACCUACAACCAUCUCAUCUUUAACAAAAUUGACAAAAAUAAACAAUGGGGAAAGAACAUCUUGCUGAAUAAAUGGUGCUGGAAUAACUGGCUAGCUGUAUGCAGAAGAAUGAAACUGGACCCUUAACAUUGACCACAUACAAAAAUUAACCCAAGAUGUAUUAAGGAUAUAAAUGUAACUCCUCAAACUAUAAAAAAUUCUAGAAAAAAAUGUAGAAAAUACCCUUCUUGACAUCAGCUUUUGCAAAGAAUUUAUGUCUAAGUCCUCAAAAGCAAUUGCAACAAAAACAAAAAUUGAUGAGUAGGACCACUACCUCGGUGACUAGACCAUUCCUACCCCAAACUUUGGCGUCAUGCAAUAUAUCCAUGUCGUAAACCUGAACAUGUACCACCUGGAUCUAAAAUAAAAGUUGAAAUUUUAAACAGACAUCUUUAUUGUAGAUCAUUUGCAAAUAUAAAACCCAAAGAAAGAGAAAUAGAAUUCUAAUACUCAGGGAUAAGGUUGUUAAAAUAUUUGUGUAUAAAUUUGGCAAUAAGAAGGAUCUUUUAAGACUGUUUUUCACUAUUUUAUUAUCUUUAGUAAUACCAUUAAGUAUUUGCUCCUGUCAUUAACUUUUUUUUUCUAAACUGUUUUGUUAUGUACUUUGUAUACUAUAUAUGAUGGAUCAUAUGUCUUUCUUUUCUUUUUCCUUCUCUAUUAAGAUAUUCUGGUACCAGAAGGUACAAUUGAAGACUCCAAGUAGGAUAGGUUAUACAAAACUCCAUGUCUAGUUUCCUUUAUGUAAUUCCCAUACUGUACAAAACUACAUGUCUAGUUUCCUUUAUAUAAUCCCAUACUACCUACCACAAGUUAUUCAAUAUCAUCCAAAAUUGUUUUAAUGAUUAUGAUACUCUUACUUGUAUUCUUUCUAACACAAUGAAAAUGAGAUCCUCAAUUCCGCUCAAACAAAAUGUGUCUAAUUAUCUUUGCAAACUUCAUGUUAGUGUUGAAAAACUAAAUUUCUCCAAGACAUUUUAAGGUCAAAGUUAUCAAUUUUAAAGUUACAACUUUUAUUGAGACUUUGACGUUCAUUUCUUUCAAUGAACUGAAUUUUUUCAAAAUUACUGAAAAUAUGGCAAUAAUUAAUAACGUUGUAAUGAAAUUUGUAAUUUUUGAAAUCUCCCCAAUUGCUUUUUUCUGGCAAGUGUGACUUCCAUGAUAAGAAGCAAAAUAUUGUGAAAGACCAGUGUGGCAGCCGUGGCUGUGCAGCGCUCAGGAUUGCCCGUAAUAAAGAACCUGCUGUGAGGACUUAGUGGACAGCGUCCAGCUGCCACAUCUUUAGGAUCCACUGCAGCAUUCAUAAAGGCCCUACUAUAACUGAAUCUCUAUCAGUUAAUGACACAGCACUGUAGUGAAGCUAGUGUCCAGGUUUCGUUGGCCAACUCAGCACCCAACUAAUGCUCAACUUUUGCUCUGGGGCUCCCUAUUGGCUUGGCCAAGAAUCUUCUAGAGUUGUACAGCAGUCUGGGGCUCCUGUUAUUUAAGCUGUUUCUGUCUUCCCAAUCUUCCAUCAUAGGUGUUAGACCUGCAUCCUGGUCUGAAAGCCUUCCCUGCUUUCCUGUUCACUCAGCUUUAUCUUUCACAGAAAAUUCCCCCAAUGAAUUACUUGUGUUUCUUAUUCUGUCUUGGUAUCUGCUUCUAGAGGACCCAAACUGAUACAGUUUUUAUGAACCUAAAUGGUUGUUCAUGAUUACAGUAGUCUAUUUGUUGAGGUGUAUGGCCAAUACUAUUUAAUACAUUGUAUUUAUUAUUUUGUAUUCAUUCAAAAACAAUUGUUUCUGAGUAUAUAAAGCAAACAUUAAGAAGAAAUUAUCAUGAUUCAAAGAAUGACAAAAAUUAACUUUAUCUCAUUAAUAGACCUCACCAUAACAGUCAGUGAGAAAUUCCUUCCAACUGCUAAAAAAUGUUUUAAGCAGAUGUUUCUUGCAUUGUAACUUAGAAACUACCAAUUUCAGGCUCCUGGAUAAUGAACAGGAAACAUGUUACACGCCUGAGGGCUAAGCAUCAAGAAUUCUGGUCACCACUGCAGUUGCCAAACUCUGAGAAGAGACAUUAGGAAAUCCCAUUCACUGUACUCUCAAAAUACUAUUAAUUCCAAUGGUUUUGUGGUCAAGGAACUCCCAUUUCCUGUUGACAAUUUGGGGAGGCUGUAAAGAUCUGGCAACAUAAAAUGAGUUCUGUAUGUAACCAAAUUACUGCCAUUUCAGUUCUUUGUAGGGUAAGAAUACACUUCAAAUGCAUCCCCAUUAAGACACGUUUUAAAAUAUGUAAAGUCCAUCAGGAAUAGUUUUAUUCAUAAAUGUGAAAUAUAUUUCAUUCAUUACAUUUAAAAAGAAGAGACAAUCUACAUGUAGUAAACAGAGACAAGGAAUUAGAAUCAGGAGAAACAUAUUAACUCUUUAUAAUAACUCUUAUCAAAGAGAAGGAUAAACCAAGAGAUGCUGAACAGACAUGGUGCUUCAAAAAUCUGUUUUCAAACUAUUGGUAGGGGAGCAGCAAAACCACUCUCUGGAAAACAAAAGGCAAGCUUGUUUACACUUGACAUCUUCCUUUCCAUUUUAUCGAAGUCCAAAGAUGCUCAGUCAAUUACUUGCCAUGCUCAAGUCAAUCCUGCUUAGGUAUUGAUCCCUGUUGCUCACUAAAUGAAAGCUUAUAAUUGAAGCAAACUUUGUCCCUCAGUUAUGAAGCUGUUGCUUUGUCCCUUUAUUGUUUAUAUGUCCCUCCUGACCAUGUCAUCUCCACUGUACCUUGUUGCAUAAGAUAUUGCAGGAGAGAUUGGGAUAGAUAAUCUCCACUGCGUCUCCAUGGAACAUACACAUUUUCCAUAAUAACACAGUACAUUACAAAUGUUUGCUAUGAAUCUGUCAUCAGAGGCAGUGAUAUCCUUAAGAACAGGCAACUGUAUUCAAUUCAGUGUGGGUCCCCAAUGCCUUGCCUGGUUCCUGAUCAGCACUUGAUAAAUGGUUGCUGCAAUUAAGAAUCACCAAAUACCACUUUUGAACCAGAUGGCCUAGAUAGUAAGCUCUCUUUUCUAGAGAAUGUAUUUCCAGCAAGUAAUAUAGUCUAAUUAAGUAAGUUGUAUUAUAAUCAUGUUUUGAGAUGUGCUUUCCAGCUCUAGGUCUGCAUUUGACCUACUAUAUUAACUUACUUAUUGACUGUAACAGUGAGAGUCUUGCUGGUGCAAUAGUGAGGGUGCUCUUGUGAGUACCUGACAGUAAAUCAAACAGCAGAGUUCUGAAUGUUUAUGAGCUGACAGUAGUUUGGUGGCAUAUGCCUACACUGAGUAAAUGCAGAGUAAUUUAUUUAAAAAUAAGCUUUGAGAAAGAGUUGUUCAAUAUUACUUUUCACCUUUCUUAUAAUCUCAAAGUAGAUUCUUAUUUUUUUCAUUCUGAAAUUUCUUAGGAAAUAUAUUUCAAAUUAAGUGUUACAUUACUUUGUAGAAGAAAUUACCUUUGUUUCAUGUGGUUAAUAUCUAUGAAGCCCAAAAUGUGAACAAAGAGCCUCAGAUAUCUGGAAAAAUGACUUCCUUUCAAAGUUUUGAACUAUAGUACUUUAAUGUUUCAAGUUGAUAAAUUAUGAGACAACUACUUCUUUCAAUAUUUAUAUUAAAAUCUUAUAGCUGUCACCAUGGAACAAAAAGACCCUUUAAGUAAUAUUUUUUCAAGAAGUCAGUGCCUAAGUUUGAUGUUCACUUUCUUGCAAAGAUAAUAGCUUUUGCUAAUUUACAAACCAUUUUCAGUAGACUAUCUCCUGUCUAAAAAACUUCAAUUUAUUAGAUAUUUUCAUUCAAUUUCUGUGUCAAAUUAUUGCAUGGAAAUAAAAAUAUUUUAAAAACCAAAAUUAUCAUGAUCUACUUAUUUUCUCCAUAUAUCUAAUUUAUAAAUUAUAUGUUUAUAAAUUUGCAUUUUGUAGUUCUCAUGAUAAACCUAUAAGAUAAAUAUUAUUAUUUCUAUUUUAAUGUUGGAAAACUGAUACUUAGAUAUUUAAGUGACUUGAACAUCUUACAGGUUGUAAAUAACAAAAUUGAGAUUGAUUUUAUUAUUUUAUUUUUUUCAAAAGUGAAUGACCUCAACCCCUCUUGCUUAAUAAUUUGUGGUAUAGUGUAAAACAUAUGGACUAUGAACAGAAAAGUUUGAAGUUGGAUCAGUAAGAAUUGAACAUUGAGUAAAAGUUUUAAAAUACCUUUAAUUGUUCAAAGACCAAAGAUGGAUUUUUGAAAAACAACAUCAACUUAAUACAAUGUACAUUUACUGUUAGAUGUAGAAGGACAUGCAGAUUAUCACUGAUAAACUAAUAUUCUGCUAAUUUCUUUUUUGUUCAAUUUUUUUUACAACUGUCUGUCCCCGAUAGCUUUUGUUAAAACUAUGUGGCAAUCCUAGUUGAUCUGAACUGAAAUAGAAAAGGUUCAUGAGAAAAUAAAAAGCUAGACCAACUAAAACACAGACUGAAAUGAAAACAAGAUCUUUUAGGAGAACGGUCAAAAAACAAUGAAUUGGUCCAAAAUGUAGAUAAAGGAAAGUUCAUUAAAAAAAAAAACUGAUCAAUAAUGCAAAAGUUUGAUGAAAACAAUUAAAAUGUAUUACUCUCAUGGUAGUAAAUAUGAAUUAAAUAUAAAAAUUUGGGGACCUUUAUAGUGAAAGUUUGUUUCUUAAAUUGUUAAGCACAAUGAUUUAUAUAUUUAAACACUUUAAAUUAAUCCAGUAUUAUUAUUAAUUUUAGCAAUAUAGGAUUUGUUUUCUGCUCCAACCCAAUCUGGAAGUAUCUUUUUCUGCAAAAAUAGAGGUGUUACAAACACUCCUCAUCAAUACAAUUUAGACAGAACCCAGAGAUGGUUUAGCAAGUUUCAGGGAGUCCAUCUACAGCUACAGAGAGAAAACAUAAUUUCCCACCAUAAAAAGUAGCAGCGAGCAUAGUGCAGGGUGUUUUAGAUAGAAGGAAAAAACCUCCUGGCAAUAUAAUUGAUAAAAAUUAUGUACUUAAAGUAACUUUUGAACAGUUGCAAAAGCAAAUACUGAAUAUCUUUUGUAAAGAGUAUAUGUGAUCUGAAACCAAGAAGACAAAUCCCAGCUACUGCUGCCCUGGGAGAAGAGCUGUAUGAGGCACACAGAAGAGAAUGAACAUCACCCACAUGCCUUUCAUAUAUUUAUAACUUCCCAUUUCAUGGUCAAAACCAAAAACAUCUUGACAGUAGCUACUGGAGUGGGUAACUUGACUUGGUGGGUUUCCCCGAGUCUGAAACUUUAUGUCAAUAGUUUGAUGGCAGAGAUACAUGGUAGUGUCUCCUUUAUAACCAAAGGGACUUGUUAAAUAGAUGCAAUAAAAGCUUACAGAAAUACAUAAGGCAUUAUUAAGUCAUGCAUUUCUUAUACGUAAAAACUUCUGAUCUUUCUUAUUGUUUAUUUUAGAAACUUCAUGCAAAUGGGAAGAAAUUGGGCUGAAUGCAUUCACAUAGUAUAAGAUACUAUUUAAAGAGAGAGGAUAGGCAAACAUGAAACUGAACUUUUCAUAACAAAGAAAAAGAUAAAAGAAAAUAGUUACCCUUUGUUUAGUCUCUGUUAGAGAACAAAUACUCAUAAUUAAACUGUAACUGGAAUCAAAAUGUAGUUUGGGAUAAACAACCUAACUGGCCUCCAAGAUAAAUUACAGUACUCAUUUCUCUAUUGUUGGUUUGUUUUCUCCAGUUUCACCAGGAAGCAGGACUGUGGGGAUUCUGUACUUGUAUGUCACCACUAAGCAGCUUCUUUCAUGCCAACAAGCUUAGUAACUUGUUUGAGUCUGGCCACUUGCACACCAUCUGGAACUACUUCACAUUCUUAUUACAAAAAAGAGAAAGAGAAAAAAAGAAUACAUGAUGCUGCUGUGUUGCCUUUCAUUUGUAGAGUUUGCUGGGCAUCUUCCUGACUCAGGUGUUCAUUCCUCCUGGAGUCACCCAACCAACCAUAAUAUAGCUGACAUUAGGUUCAACCACAGAAUUAGUCCCUAGAAAUAUGUGAGUUCUGAAUCUUGUGACAUUCCUCUAGAUUUCCAAGAAAAAAAUGUAGUUUUAUUUUUAAACAUUUAAUUUUCAGUCUUUUGUGGGUUUCAAUUUGUAUUCCUCAAUUUGCUGUAAUUCUUAUGAAGAUAUAACCAAUUUGUGAGGAAAUCUGACCAAGGAAGUUUGUUCUAAAGGAGAAACAGCUUACAUGGUAUGUGUUUUGGCUUAUAGUUUGCCAUGGGUUGGGAUGGAGUAUAGGUAGGGUGGGGGUGAGAUAGGGAGAGGGUGAACAAUGUGUCCAUAGAGAGCUGAAGCUCUAUUUUAAUCAGGGAUACCCCUUUCACCAAAAUGUUUGUCGGUGCUCUACUAGUUAUUCGUUUCUUAGGAUAAACUAAAAUGAAGAAACUAAUAAAAAAGGUUCUUAGGUUAAAGCUUCAUCUGUUUAGAAUUUGUGGAAAACAUAUCUAUUCAUGACUUUAUAAAAUGCAAAAGUUUUAAUACACACUUAACAUUUUGAUCUAUAACUAACAUUGAAUAGUUUAAUACAGAAAAAGAAAACUUUUGAUUAUAUAGUGCUUAUAGUGUAAAGAAACCUCCAAGUACUCUCUUUGAAAAUUAUUAACCUUAACUCUCCUGCCAGAUUUUAUGAUUGUUUCAUUUUCAUACCGUUGCAAAGAAAAGAAGAGACCUUCUUUCUUGUUGACCUCCCUAGAGUAGGGGGUCAGUAAUUAAGGCGCACGUGCCAAACAGGACCCAAGGACUUAUUUUCAUUGGCAUUCAUGCUAGUAGACUCCUCUUGAGAGAAUAAUCACCAGCUGCAUUUUGCAACAUGUGAGAAUGUGUGGGUGGAAUAACCACUUCCCCACUUAUCUUUUGCUAGUCUCAAUAUCACUAUGCCCCACCUGGCUCACGAGAAGAACAGGUGCUACAAGCUAGGCUCACCACUUGUUUAAAGGAUGUUAACCCCCAGCUGGGCCCACAGCCCGGUACUUGGUCGAUUAUCAGAAUAUGGGAGGUGUUGUAAAGUGAGAAAAAUAAAACCAGUAUUUAUUGAGCAGUUUAUACCUGUGAGACAGUCUUUAUAAUCUUCAGAGAAGUUAAAGAACUUUUCCAGGAUGACAGAGUCACAACAAGUUUGGGUGAUUUGAACCUAUAGCUUCUAAUUCCAAAGUCUAUUAUAAUUUCACUACAUAUAUUUCCAUGUCUUCCUAGAAGAAAACAGCUAUUAUUUUUCAGAGGAAAUAUCUUAAACUGUUAUCCUCAGAAAGCAGUGUUCCAAAGGCUGAUAAUUUGUCAUAAAAGAAGUGUGUUGUGAUAAACUGUUUCGAGAUCUGUGAGUUAAAAUUCAAUCUCUCCCCACAUAGACUUCUUGGAGCCUUUAGUAUGUAAAAAUGCAUUGAGAAUCUUUGAGAGAGAUCAGGAUGGCUAACUUAUUUUCAUGUGAUGCAUCUGUUAAUACCUCCUUGAGUCUGUGUGCUACUGAAUGGCAUGGGAACUGCUUUGAAAUGUCUAGGAAGUCCAUUCCACUUAUCAUGGGUGAAAAAUGACUUUGUGCAUUUGGAUAAUAAUUAUAAAUGAUAUUAAAAUAAUCAUUUGUGAUAUGAAAAAAUAGAAUAGAGAAAGAUUAUUUAUCUAUGCACUAUAAAACUUAUUAGUUGAGUUUGAGGUGACCUAUUUAUUUGAUAUUUGAAUGUGACAUCUUUAUUUUCUCAACAAAAUUUUAAUUGGCAAUGUGUUCUCAUGGCAACAAAACUUAUCACAAUUCCAAACAAAGAAUGAAUGUGUAAGGACUAAAGAAAGCUUUUUGUGAAUACUGUUCUACUUGCAGGAAACUGUUAAUUUAUUAUUAAAAGACAAUUUUUAGUGCCUACAAUAAGCCAUCCAUGGUAGUAGAUGUAGGGAAGAACUUAACAUGGCCUUUGAGGGCCUCAUUGCCUAAAUGGAGAAACAAGUUUACUACAACAAAUAAAACAAGCUCCUUUUGAGAGAAAGUAUCAGCCUAUGUUCCCAAACUAGCCCAUAUCAGCUGCCUAUAUUACAUAGCCAAUUCAAUGGUAACAUUAUUCUUGUGGCCUGCUGAGGAUUCAAUAGAAGUCAAAAUUUGUCAUGAGUUUUCUGUGUUUGAGGCAAAAAAUAUUCCUCACUCCCAGUGUUCUUGAUCAUUAAUGAUCUUUGUAAAAAUUUUGAUCAGCCAGCUAUUGGUUUGUAGGCUUUUUGUACCCCACCCUGAAAGGUAUAGGUGCUCCUUCAUCUAUCCCUGGGACCUGGGUGUGGAUGAGGAGCCCAGCCUGUUGUACCUGAUAGCUGGCUGCAGACUCCUCAGAGAUCUUUGCUUAGGAACACUGGAUCCAACUUCUGUUUUCUUAUAUUCUACUCUUCCCUCUGCUCCCUCAUGAAUUUGAUUUUGUGGAUACCCAGUGCCUUACUUGGUAAUAAUACCAAAUACCCCUAAUUUUUCUACUAUAUUCUUUCUUACAUGUCCAUUGCAUGCUUUGUUUAUGGCAGGGUAACCUGUACCAACACCCAGCUUACAGACACAAACCUAUACACAGAGAACUAGGGAGGACUGAAAAAACCCUUAAGAAGAAAACCUUAACUCUGUCUGGAAGGUCAAGAAAAUAUCAAUGAGACCGUUUAAGCAGUCUUGGGAAAUGAAUGAGAAUUGUGAUAGGUAACACUGAGGGUGGUAGUUGGAAAGAAGACAUUCUAGACUGAAUGAACACCUUAUGUAAAAACACACAGUGAGAGUGGUGAAGAGCAAAACUGUUAUAUGACUAGAACAUAGAAUGUUAAGGUAGGAUGUGGUUGAACAUGCCAAAAAGUGUGCAUAAACACAUGGACAUUAAAUAUCAAAAAGAUUUUAUAUAGAAGUAACAAAUCAUAUAUAAAUCUUAGUAAUUUUACUCUGGCAUUGACUUAGAGGGUACAAAUUGAAGGUAGGUAUGCCCUUAUUUGAGAAAUUAUGUGAGUCUGAACUUAACAGUUGAACCAAGAUUGUACUACAAACAUUAUGAUGUAAACAUUAGAAAACAGGAUUUUUUUUUUUUGCUUUGAUCAAAAUUGUAUAUUCAGCACCCAGAAGAGUACUUGGCACAUAAAUUGAAUGACUGGAUAGCCAGGAGAGUACUCAUUAUUUAGCUGGCCAUCCAUCCAUCCAUCCAUCCACCCACCCAUCUAUUCAUUUAUAUGUCCAUUUGUUCGUCAAUCUCUCAAACACUAAACACUUGCAUUGUGCAUAUCCUAGGCCUUGAAAGAAUGCAUAAAGUAGGGAUAAAAUGUGGAAAAGGACAUAAACUUAGAAAUAUGAAUGUUUAACAGUGGGAUGAAGAAAAGGAUCACUGAAAGAGGCUGUAAAAAAGCAGAAAGGGAGGAGAUGAAACUAACAGUUUGUUAAAGUGAGAGCUAAAGUUAUACAAGAUUUCAUGAAGGACAAGGUAAUUGCCAGUAUUUUGGUGCUUAGAUCAGGUAAUGAUACUAACUGAUGGUCAUUGUCCCUCGGAUUUCUUCUAUUUUUUAUUGAGAUAUAAUUUACAAUCAAUAGAAAGAACAGACUCUAAGAGUAUGUAGUUCAAUGAAAUUUGGCAAGUAUAUACAAUUGUGUUACAUACUUAUCAAAAUAUGAAAUACUUCUGUCUUUCUCCAAAGUUCUUUCAUGUUCCUUUCCAGUCAAUUCCUCCCACACAAAGCUGAGCAGUGCUCAGAUUUUUUUCACCAUGAUUGCUUUUGUCAUUUCCUGUCUCCUAUCCUAUCACAUGCGUAUUGGACCCUUGACACUGUGCCCUAACUCACUGUUUCAGUGGUUUCCUCUGUGUGCUUUAGACAGUUUUAUUAGCUGAUCUUAUACAAUAUCCACUCUGCUGUUAAGCCCAUGCAUUUGAGAUGUUUACUACAAUUAUAUUAUUUUUCAGUUUUAAAAUUUCUACUUGUUGUUUUCUUUUCCUAGUUUGUAUUUCUCUGUUGAGAUUUCCCAUCAUUUCACAUAUUAUCUGUUUUUUAAAAAUCCUUGAAUAUAUUUAUAUUAACUUUUUUUUUUUUUUUUUUUUUUUUUGAGACAGAGUCUCACUCUUUCACCCAGGCUGGAGUGCAGUGGUGCAGUCUUGGCUCACUGCUAGCUCCGCUUCCUGGGUUCACGCCAUUCUCCUGCCUCAGCCUCCUGAGUAGCUAGGACUACAAGCACCUGCCACCACACCCGGCUAAUUUUUUGUAUUUUUAGUAGAGAUGGGGUUUCACCGUGUUAGCCAGGAUGGUCUCGAUCCCCUGACCCUGUGAUCCGCCCGCCUUGGUCUCUCAAAGUGUUGGGAUUACAGGCGUGAGCCACCGCACCCGGCCUAUAAUAACUAUUUUAAAGUCACUGUGUGCUUAUUCCAAUAUCUGGGUUAUGCAUGGGUUUGUUUUUAUUCACUCAAAUUCUCCUGGCUAUGAGUUACAUUGUAAAAUUAUUCUUUGUAUAUCUAGUAAAUUUUUAUUGAAUUUUGCAUAUUGUGGAUACUAUAUUUUUUACAGUAUAAAUUAUAAUGUCUUCUUUUAAAAUGUUGAGAUUUGCUCUAGCAGGCAGUCAAUUUGCUGGCAGCUCAACUUGAUCCUGUUGAGGCUUACUUUCAGGCUUUGUUACAAUUGGUCUAUAUCCCUUACUUUAGGGGUAGACUUGACCUACCAUUAAGGACUUUCUAGGAUCUCAAUAGAAUAAUUGGGUUUUUCGGUGAGUAGUCUCACUCCAACCUGUUUAGCACUAAGUACUCUCUGCAAUUCAUCUCACAGUCCCUCAGUAAGUGGUUUCUCAAGCCUUGUGUAUAUAUAGCACAUUAUUUGGCCAAUGUCUGAAGGGGACCCUUUUGCCAAUGCCUGAGGUGCCUUCUCUAUGUUGCUCUCUGCUAUCUAGUACUCUACAAAUUCUGGCAACUUCGGUAUUCCCGAACUCCCAUCGCCCUUUUUUUUUUUUUUUUUUUUUUUUGUCUGCCUGGAAAGACCACUGCUUUCUGUUUGGACUCUAGUUCCAUGUGCUGAAAUGUGAAAAAUAUCCCCAGGCUGAAUUCUGGGGUGAAUGUAAAGCAAAUUAGGGGUGUUUCCCUUUUAUUAUGGCUAUCAUUAAAAAGUCAAAAAAUAACAGAUGCUGGUGGGGUUGUGGAGAAAAAGAACACUUAUCCACUGCUUGUGGGAAUGUAAACUAGUUCAACCAUUGUGGAAGACAGUGCAGCAAUUCCUCAAAGACCUAAAGACAGAAAUACCAUUCGACCCAUUAAUCCCAUGCACAUGUAUGUUCAUUGCAGCACUAUUCACAAUAGCAAAGACAUGGAAUCAACCCAAAUGCCCAUCGAUGAUAGACUGGAUAAAGAAAAUGUGGUACAUAUACACCAUGGAAUACUAUGAAGCCAUAAAAAAUAACGCAAUCAUGUCCUUUGGAGAGACAUGGAUAGAGCUGGAGGCAAUUAUCCUUAGCAAAUUAACACAGGAACAGAAAACCAAAUACCGCAUGUUUUCACUUAUAAGUGGGAACUAAAUGAUGAGAACACAUGGACACAUGGGGAACAACAUACACUGGGACCUAUCAGAGGGUGGAGGGUGGGAGGAGGGAGUGGAUCAGGAAAAAUAACUAAUGGAUACUAGCCUUAAUACCUGGGUGAUGAAAUAAUCUGUACAACCAACCCCAUGACACAAGUUUACCUAUGUUACAAGCCUGCACAUCCUGCACAUGUACUCCUGAAUUUAAAAGUUAAAAAAAAUCAAUUCCCUGGUAUUGUCUGUUGUACAAUGUCUCAAAUCAGCUGAUUUUUACAUUUUGUCUAGAUACACAAAUGCCUAUGGUGGGAAGAUUAUUCCCAUAUCCAAUAAUCUGUCCUAGCCAAGACCAGAAGUCCUGUCCAUUGGUUUCUGUACUUGGAAUGUUUUUGGUGACCCGAAUAGUUUCAGCAUCAUGGAAUGGCAAAUGUCUGCUCUUCACCUUACUUCCUGACUUUAUUUUUUCCUUACCCCAGGUCUCUGUAGUCUCUGAGAACCUUAUGUAGAUUUAUUGUACUUAAAUCUUAUAAAACACAGUACUUAUUUAUUAGCUCUGUUUUUACAUAGCUGUUGAUGUUAUUUGCAUUAAUUAAUAUAUGAUCCAUAUUAGCAUAUAUUUCUCUAAGUCACAACUUUUUGGCUAACCAGAUAGCAUUUUUGGGUUACCUAGAGCAAAGGCAGAUAAGAAACAAAUAAAUAUGUCGGUGAUGGAUAGAGUCAGCCAAUGCUAAAUCUGAAAUUUGGGUCAUUUUCAUGGUCAUCAAAUCAUUGCUUACAUUUUUUUUUUUUCACUUGCAGAUCAUUUGGGGGUUUUCAUGUGAACAAUCUGUAUUCACCAGUUGUUUUAGAGUCACACACACAUAGCUUUAAGUUAUGCAUAACAGUGCACCCUGCCAAAUGACUACACAGCUGGAGGGUUCACUGGGGGUAGCAGCUGGGUGAGGAUCCUCAAAAGAUGGGUAUGUACUGAAGGAGUUCCCUCCUGCUUUUGUACCCAGAAGGCUCACUAUUAACAUCCUGAAAACACAAAGAAGAGAUUAGAAUUUAUUGUUCAUUUUCCCCCCAUGGGGAAGCCAUGUAUGUUUAUGCCCUAAAGAUUGCACAUUUGAAAGAAUAAGCCACUUUCAUUGUGGAAUUAACCAAAUUGACUAUCUUCCCAGUUUGAAUUCACUGUAUAACUGUUAACCCACUUCACAUUGUGCUUUAAAGUCUCAGCCAAAGGAUUCUAAAGGCCUGAAUUUCCAGGUUUUCUCAUCUGUAAUACAAAUACCAGUUAAAGACAUAAUAUCAUUUUAUGCUUCUCUCAAAGGGCAUGUAGCAAAGCUGGCUAGCACUACUGCAACAUUUUAAUUACUGGUGCUUACCACAAUUUGCAAUAAUUACAGUUCAUUUUGUAAGCUGGUUCUUAAUUGCAGACACUGCUAAAGUAACAAUUGAAUAAAAAAUAAAGUGCACUUUCAUGUGUGUGUGUGUGUAUAUGUAUGUAUACAUAAAAUAUGACUGAGAAAGAUGUGAGCUUAUAAAGAAAUAAAAGAGGUUAGUGUCUUCUACUAGACCAAUUAUGAAAACAGAGAUAUUAAAAACAAUUUUUCAACCAAAGACUUAAAACUAAAUUUAAUCAUCAGGACAAGUUAUUCCAUCCUUUAUGGUAUUUUUUCUUUAGCAUAAUUCCUAAAUUCUAUGCUUCUUUAUAUUAAAGAAAGCUCAGUGAGUGAAAUCUAGUAUGGAUAUAUGUAAACUCUCAACAAACUUCUAUUCAUUAUCAGGUGGCAGGUCUCAAAGAUAGAGAUAACUCCUAUAUAAAAAGAAUUUUGCUCUAAAAAGAAAAAAAAUUCUGGAAAACUCUGUUCUUGUUCAUGUUUCACCUUAGUAAACACCAUUUUACCCUAUAUCAAUUUAGAUAAUGUGAGGGAUAAGAACGUUUGGAGGGUGAAGAAGUGAAGGAGAUCCUAAGAAAAGCUAAACUGAAGUGGAGGGAAUGUUCAACAAGAGGGUACACACUCUUGAUAAGAAAGCACCUUUGGUUCUAAUUUGUUGAAAUGAACAUGAAGAUGGUAGCUCUCUUUCAAAAAAUUGACUGUUCCCCUCACAAGUAUUAUAAUUGUAUUAACAUGAUGGAUCUUUAGCAAAUUAAUAAUGUUUAAUCUCCAGUAUUCUUGAAGAGAACAUUUUAAGUCAAAGAAAUAAAACAAAACAAACAAGAUAGCACCCUAUUCCCCCUGAAAAGAGAUCCUCUAAGUAGGUGGUUUUGAUUAGAGCUAGCAGUAAUUUCAAAAGUGAUACAUCUCUUAAAAUGAAAAAGAAAUUUCCCCAGAUUAAAGCAACACUGUGAUCCUUUUAAAAAAGAGGACAUGUUGGCCCUUAGAAAGAAAAGAGUGCUCUAUUCACAGUUUGAAUGUCUUGGCCCUUCAUAGAGUAUUAAUAGUAUGAAUGAGGGAGGGUGACCCAGUGAUAAGGAGUAAGGCUGUGAAAUCUUAACCACACUUUGCAGCUGUUUGAUCAUGGAUCUCACAUGAGAUGGCAAAGAGGUCAAGACAAAAAUUCUGCAUUUGGGAAAAGAAUAACACAUGGACUUCCUCCUACAGGUUCAUAUGUGGAAGGGACUUGCCUUGUACCAGAUAAGACUUUGGACUGUGGGCUUUUGAGUAAAUGCUGAAAUGAGUUAAGACUUUGAGAGAUUGCUGAGAAGGCAUGAUUGGUUUUGAAAUGUGAGGACAUGAGAUAUGGGAGGAACCAGGGGAUGAAUAAUAUGGUUUGGCUGUGUUCCCACCCAAAUCUCAUCUUGAAAUGUAGCUCCCAUAAGCCCCACGUGUUGUAGAAGGGACCCAGGCGGAGGCUGGAGUGCAGUGGUGGGAUCUCACCUCACUGCCACUUCCACCUGCCGGGUUCAAAUGAUUCUCAUGCCUUAACCUCCCGAGUAGCUGGGAUUACAGAGAGGUGGAGUCAGAUUUGAGAGGCAGAAGAAAGUUUCAGAGCAAGAUCAGUUGGUUAAAUACGAGGCACCAAGUGACCACGCAUAUCACACUGCUGGUUUCUUUUGGACCUACCAAGCUUACCGUCAGACAGUUCGAGCAGAAAUUCACCGCGAAUUGGAAAUGGUACAUCUGAGAUCAAGCCCAAGCAGGAGCAGAAGGUACAACCUGGCUGUUGGACAACCCAGAAUUGCUGUGUCCUGGUGAAGACUGAAACCACAUCAGUAAGGUGGUGGCAGAAUACGAUUAACAAAGAAACAAAGGUGAUGGGAUGGUGGAGGGCUCAAUGACACUACAGAAGACACUGGAACUGCCAGGAAGAAAACAUAAUCAGCAAACGACCCAGUCUUUGCUUUAAUAUCAUCAGUUGCUACAGAUCAUGAUCAACUGUGAUGCAGGUGUGACUCAUCGUGUUUUCAUGGUGAACCAUGGCUGACUCAGGCAAAGCACUGAUGAAGACAAACACAGGGACAAUUCUAAGAUGUUAUGCAAUCAUUCCUCAUCUUAUAAAAGAAAUUUUUAAAAUAAAUAAUAUUUAGAAAAACCAUCAAAACUUACGUUCAAAUCCCCUUUUAAUAGACUACCUUAUCCACUUAGAUGUAUCAACUUAUGUCUUAAAGUAGAAGAUGAAUUCAUACUGGUUUCUUUGUACUCAGGUCUUCCAUAACAUUGUGGAUAUUUAGGUGUAGAAAUGUUCACCUCAUUCAAGUGCUAUCGUACUUUUAGGUGCUUGCACAGAAAGAUUUUUUUCAGAGACUACAUUAUCUUCUUUUGGGAACAGGAAAAUAUUUUUCUUAGCCUGCUGUCCUCAGGCCAUUGACUAUCUUCCUCUAUCCAGGCUUUCAGGGAUGGCCAGCACCAUUUCUAAUAGGUACACCACUGCCAAAAGUGGCAGUAGAAGAGCCAUAACAGCAAUGCAUUCUCUGAGAUGUUCCCUGCUCCUAGACACAUCUAUGAAUGUCAUCCAGUCCCAUUUUGAUACAGUUGUGCCAAGUUAUAUAACUGUAUUAGUCUGCUUGGGCUUUCUUAACAACAUACCACAGGCUAGGUGUUGUAAACAACAAAAAAUAAUUUUCUUACUGUCUAGGCUCUAGAAAACCAAGAUCAGCAUACCAGCAUUGUUGGAUUCUGGCAAGGGCUAUCUUCCUGGCUGGCAAAUGGCCAUCUUUCUGGAUGUAUCUUCACGUGGCGGAGGGAGAGCAAGCUCUCUGGUAUCUCUUCUUAUAAGGGCUCUAAUUUCACCAUGAGCGUUUCCCCCUUGAACUUCAUGUAACCUUAAUUACUUUCCAAAAGCCAACACCUCCAAAUACUACGACAUGGGAAGUUAGAGCUUCAACACACGGAUUUUAGGGUGGACACAAUUCAGUUGGUAGCAAUUCUAAUUUUCUGCUUAACAAUAAGGUUGUUAAAUAACCUCAUUACAAUCAACUCCUUGCAAAGGAAAAUAAGAUUUUUCGGUUUUUCUCAGGGUUUGUGCAAAUUGUCUAAAGAAAAUCCUGAGCAUUUUAACAUAAAUGUAUGUGUGUCUCCUAGAAGACAGCAAUAACGGAGUUUUUGUGUAGAAGAGGAUAAAUGAAAACAAUUGGCUUGUAAAUGGUAACUUGAAGACCAUUCUGGAAAAUUUUAUCUGGUAAAAAAGAUGAUGGUGGGGACUACUGGGUCAUUUUGACUGGCAAGGAAAGAUAAGAAUUAGUGGCACCCUUUUGCAACAAUUCUCUUUUGAGGCAUAUGGAAUUAAGAAAUCACCUAAAACCUGCUCAGUGCCCAUUAUUAGCAGAAACUCCAGUAGAGACAUAUAACAACCUCUGGCCAUUUCCAACCUAUCUACAGUUACUUUUGCCAAAUCUCCAAACCACCUCUACUUUUAUUUAGUAAGCAUAGUUUCUUAACUAGAAACAUAUGAAAUGAAUACAAGACAAAGCACUGGUUAGAAAACACUGAUUUCUGCAGGUUCUGAAGACUAUAUGUUUAACGGAGGUUUUAAAGACAGCACCCAAUUGUGAGCUUUUUCUUGAGGUACCAUAGGAUUUUUAGAAGAUAAUAUAUUUCUUACUUUGUGAUUCAAUGUUAUUUAAAGUUCCAAUUGCACCACCUGAAAACAUCUUUUACCCUCUGCAUUUAUACUUGUACCCUCUACAUUCUAGUAAACGCUGAUCUACAUUAUCAAAAUAUGUUUAGGACAUAGGACCCACCCCUUUGAAGUUUACAGUGCACUCAUGGAGAAAAGACAGGCACAACCAUAAUUACAGUAUAUAAUACAUCAAUGAAAAGAGAUAAGUAACCCAAGGAAAGUAUACAAUAUUAUAGAAGAGCAAUUUAACGAAAGCAACAAUGGAUUCCUUCUGACUUGGAACUCAAAAAAGACUUAAUGAAAGAUGUGUUGUUUGAUAUAGUAUUUAAUUCUUUAAGGAUUAACAAAUUAUUAUUAUCAAUUGCCAAUGGUUAAAAGGCAGCAUUUUUUUUUCUUUUUUUCUUUUUUAAGAUGGAGUCUCGCUCUGUUGCCCAGGCUAGAGUGCAGUGGCACGAUGUUGGUUCACCACAACCUCUGCCUACCGGGUUCAAGCGAUUCUCCUGCCUCAGCCUCCCAAGUAGCUGGGUCUACAGGCACAUGUCACUAUGCCUAGCUAAUUUUUGUAUUUUUAGUAGAGACAGGGUUUCAGUAGGUUGGCCAGUCUGGUCUUGAACUCCUGACCUCGUAAUCUGCCCGCUUCGGCCUCCCAAAGUGCUGGGAUUACUGGCGUGAGCCACCAUGCCUGGCCACAGAAAGCAUUUUUAGAAGCAGGACGGUAUCUAGCAUGUUCAGAAAAUGGUAUGCACUUCAAUUAAGACAUUAGGUAGUAUAUAGGAGUAGAAUAAGAAAAUGUUAGAGAGGUUGAGGCAGAGUGUAGGAUACAUUGUUCCAAGAUAAGUAAUUUGGCCAUUUGGGGACAGAGAGUAAUCUGAUAAGAACUAUGGAGUCAGAUUAAUUUCACAAUACGGUACAGAAUAAUUGGUGAUGACAGACUUAAGAUGGAAAGACUAUUGUUGUGAUCCAGAAAAGAAACAGUAGAGAUCUGAUUAGACUAGUGACAAUGGAAACACCAGUGGUAACAACAAGAAUAAUAAGAGCCAUAAUUAUUAAGGCCUUCCACAGUGGGCACUGUAUCAAAGCCCCUUUCAUGGACUGCCACAUUAAUAUUGAUAAGAACUCUUUGAGGUAUGUAAUAUUUUCAUCUUCAUUUUAUAAAUGAGAAACAGACCAAAGAUCCCAUACUGAAUUGAAGUUUAGAUACAGGUCACUUAAUUCUAAAGGCUCAGCUUUUAACUAUAAUGCUAUACUAUAUGGAAAUGUACAAAAGUAGCUCAUUUAGAGCUAUUAUAGUGUCAAAGUGAAAUGGCUUGUGACUUAUUUGAUGUAAGAAUUAAGGAAGAGGUCAAGGUUAAUACUAAAGAUGUGAGCAUAGGCAAAUGAACUGAUAUUGAAAAGAGGAAAAUUAGACAAAGGGACAGUACUAAUAGAAUACCCAGGAGGUAACAUAAAAAUAUAAUAACAAUGCUUUGUAAUUUGGAGAAAAAUUAAGGUACCAACUUUAGUGUAUGACUGUUACUGUGCCUGACUUCUGAGAAUAUGAUCCAAUUUUGCCCUAAAGUUACUUCUGUUCUAAGAAUCAAAUAUCUGGAAAUGGAGAAUAGAGUUUUGCUAAUUUUUUUCUAAUACAACUUUAAGUACCUUUAUUUCAAAAGAGAUGCUUUUCUAUUUUAUCUUUUAGGAAGAGGAAUUGUAUUUUUUUAUUUCCUCAUUAGUAAGCUCACUGCUAUUUGUAACAUUCUUUAUGCUUUACAGUAGCAAUUAUACUUUCUAUUCCCCUGCCUAGCUUAAUUAAUGUCUAGUUUGUUAAAGAAAGAAGUAUCUUCAGCUUUACUCUAGGGUAAGGAACAAUGUAGCUACAAACUACUGAUGAUGGAUCAGCCUGGGGACUAAUCAUUAGGUGUAUCCCGGCAGUGUGUAAUAUUAAUUUGUGCUUAUAUUAUUUAAAUGAAAAUCAUGUUUGAUCCUCCAUCUCUCUUUUAGAGUGAAGACCUAAAAUUCCCUCAGAUGCAUCCAAGAAAUCAUCUAGUCAAGAGUAGGGAUGAUAGGUCUAAGUACAAGAGAAGAGUUCAGCUUCAGGCUACUUGGGUACUAGUAAAAGCUAACAUUUUCAGUGUGCCAGGCAACAUUCUAAUUGCAUUGCAUAUAUUUGUGGCUUUAUUCCUUCCAUAUUUUUGAGGCAGAUAUUGUUAUUGUUUGCUAUUAUACACCUGUGGAAAAUCUGAAACACUGAAAUAUAGUUGAACUAGAAGGUUGUAGAGCUGAGUUUCAAAUCAGUCACUAUGAUUACAAAACUCAUGUUCUUACACUGCCUUUUAGAUUUAGUCCUAUUAAAUACCAGCACCUAAGCUUAAUAUACAUAUGAGACUUGUUUACAUGAAAUAGUAAAAAUAGGUUUAGCUAAAUAUCUGUAAAAUUCAGCUUUAAAGAGUAAGAAACUGCUACAGGAGAAAAGUAAAAACUUGAAUUGUUCAUCUGUUCAACACAAUUUAUUGAAUACCUGCUACAUUUAAUCAUCCAAAUAUAUGACCACCCUUUAUAGGAUUUACCAGAUACUUGGUUAAAACCACAACAUUUUGCCAUUUUUGCACAGAAAAAAUGGCCAUUUAAUUACCAUGAAAUAUUUGCCCUGAACAAAAUUUUUAAAUAAAAGUAUUUGUUCUCAUUCUUUUGAUGAGGAGAGUUUGGGUGGCAAUUACGACAAGACAAUUAUUAAGUCACUAAAUUUCAUGGUAUGACCAGCAUAUGCUCUUGAUUUAUAGCUUUGAAAACGAACUGCUGAUAAGCCAAUUGUUUUCCUCCUAGGCCUUUAUGUGUUAGCUUGCCCAAGAGGAAUCACACCUUAGUGAUCAUUGAAUAUCUCCAGGAAUCCAUUAUGCAUUCAAGUGUCUUUCUCCUGAGUGGUAAAGUUCUGCUUGUUGAAACACUGAGAUGAUCUCUGCAUUAGUCAGGGUUCUCUAAAGGGAUAGAACUAAUAGGAUGGAUGAAUAUAUGGAGGAGUUUAUUCGGAGAAUUGACUCACAGGAUCACAAGUUGAAGUCCCACAAUAGGCUGUCUGCAAGCUGGGGAGCCAGGAAGCCAGUCCGAAUCCCAAAACCUCAAAAGUAGGAAAGCCAAUAAUACAGCCUUCAGUCUGUGGCCGAAGGCCCAAGAGCCACUAGCAGAUCACUGGUGUAAGUCCAAGAGUCCAAAAGCUGUAGAACUUGGAGUCUGAUGUUCGAGGGCAGGAAACAUCCAGCAAGGGAGAAAGAUGGAGGACAGAAGACUCAGCCAGUCUGCUCUUUCCAUGCCUGCUUUUAUGCUGGCAGCUGAUUAGAUGAUGCCCACCCAAAUUGAGAGUAGGUUUGCCUCUCCCAGUCCACUGAUUCAAAUGUUAAUUAAUCUCCUUUGGCAACACCCUCACAGACACACUCAGGAGCAAUACUUUGCAUCUUUCAAUCCAAUCAAGCUGACACUCAGUAUUAACCAUCACAACCUCCUUUACCAAUGGAAACACGUAGAAAUAGCAGCUAGUAGAGGCAAGAGAUGGACCCUUACCAUCUCUCAUCCCAGAGGAAGUGUUCCUUAUAUACUUUUAGUUCCAAGGACUGUAUUUCUUUUUUCUCCUGUUAUUUUCUCAGAUAACUUUCAUCUCUCUCAUGUUUUCUUAACUUUGAAUGUCUAAACAUCAAAGAAUUUCUCCUGGGAUAAAAGAAAACAAAGCUAAUGCAAACAAAUACACAUUUUCAAUGGGUCUGAAAAAAUCCUAUCUUGAUGAAAGUUAGACUCUUAUCCUAAAGCCAUUAUCUGCUACUCUGCACCACCCAUCCCAGAUGUAAUAAUCAUACCAAAUAUGUGUUUUAGUGGAUUGAAAAAUAGACAAUGCUCCUAAAAAGGGCAGCAGUCAAUUAUUUAUCUUAAGAAUGACAUUUUGUCCUCUUAAUUAGAAGUACAAAAUGUCACUGUUUGUGGAAUAGCAGCAGUUGAAACAAAAUUCUUCUUCUUGAUCUAGGAUACAAAAAAACAUAGGAAGUCUUUUUCAAAAGGUAUAAAAUAAUUAUUGCAGUGUUCAAACUCUGUAGUUUACUUUACCUAACUCCUUUGACUCAAUCUAUAGCUUUUCCUCUGUUUCAAUAGCAUGCAGUCUGAAAUGAACAAUAUUUUCAUUUCGGCUAUAAGCUACUAUUUGUACUAGAUGAAAUUUCACAUGGCAUAAUAUGUAUGUUUGUAUUUAUAUCAAUUUCACUUCCUGACUGGGAUAGGCAUGAAUUGCUAUGUGUUAUUAAAUAGAUGCCAGAUUUUACCCUUGACUUGAUGUGUUUCAGUAAUGGAUGAAAGCUUGGGAAGUUGGGGAAGUCUUUGGCAAUUGUUAAAGAUGAGCAGAAUUGUAUUAGUGAACAUAUUACAAUUUCACAAAAGAUAGCUACUAGUUCGUUUUUAGAAGUCUCAUAAAUAGCAUAGAUGAUAUAGCUAUGCUCCGGAAUUUUCCAGAUAUAUCAUUCUACAAACGAUACUUCCAAUAUGCAUUUUUUGUUUUCAGGAAUGAAGGAAAAUUUCAAUCUCAUUCAAACUGUAAUUCAAUGCUAUCAAAUAGUCAUUUCUAAUCCUUUUUUAAAGAAUCUCCAGAGGCCCUUUCGUCUUCCCAAGAGUACUGUUAGGAAAUGUAGAAGAGAAUCUGAAAAGGAAAGAAAAUUAACUUAAGUCAGUUAAUUUUACAGUAAAUAUUUUUUACAAGAAAUCAGGUAAACAGAUGAUUGUGGGAAUUCCAAAAAUUUUGGUAAAAAUGUCAAAGUCUAACUUACCCAGUUGUAGAAUAAAUGUUCUUUUCAUCUUCCUACUAAUUGUUUUUUAUUUGUUAUUUACUACAAUGCUAAUACUAAUGAAUUUAUAUGAAAAUGAAGUGUAUAUUAUCAACAACGAAACAUGAAGUCAAGAGUUAUGCUUGUGUCUUAGCUCAGGCUGCUAUAAAAAAUUACUAUAGACUGGAUGGCUUGAACAACACCAUACAUUUAUUUAUUAUUGUUCUAGAGGCUGGAAGUCUGAGAUUAGGGUACCAGCAUGGUCUAAUUCUUAGUAAAGGGCCUUUCUUUGCCUGGUUUGUAGAUAUCUUCUUAUUGUAACCUCACAUGUCAGAAAACAGAGAGAGAGAGAGUGCAAGCUCUCUUCUUUCUCUUCUUAUAAAGGUACAAAUCCUGCUCAUGAGGACUUCACUCUCAUGACUUUAUUAUCUCCCAAAGGCUGCACUUCCUAAUACCAUCACAUUGGGGGUUAGGAUUUCAACAUAUGAAUUUUGAGGAUGUAUAAACAUUCAGUCCAUAAGAGUUAGCAAAAGGAAUUAAUCAUAAGAGACUGGAUUGUGUCCUCACAAAAUUCUCAUGUUGAAGUUCUAAUUCCAGCCACCUCAGAAUGAGACUGUAUUUGGAGACAGGGCCUUUAAAGAGGUAAUCAAGUUAAAAUGAUGUCAUUAAGGUUAGCCUUAAUGCCAUCUGACUGAUAUCUGUACAGGAAGGGGAGAUUAGGACACAAGCACUCAUACAGACAGAGGAGAGACCAUGUGAGGACACAUCUAGAAGGCAGCCAUGUGUAUGCCAAAGAGAGAGCCCUCAGAAGAAACCAAACUGUUAACAUCCUAAUCUUGGAUCUCUAUCCUCCAGAACUGGAAGACUAUACAUUUCUGUUGUUUAAGCUACCCAGCAUGUGACAUUUUGUUAUGGCAGCCCUAGAAAAUGGAUAUAGCCAUCAAUUAGCCUCAUAUUUUCCCAAUCUGGGAACAAUUUCAAAAUAGCUAUAUUUUAAUUUCAUAGUGAACCUGUUAUUUCAUUACACUACAACCAAUUAAUCCACUAGCUGGUUAGUAGUCUGACUAACUGCUCGAUGAUAAAGACAUUUUAUGUAGUCCCUCAUCAAAGUUCAACAAAAAAUGUCGUUGCACUGGAAUGAUUAUGAACAUGCAUCCUUGUCAGUAAAACGUCAUUUAACCCAAAACACAUAAUGAGAAUUUAAAUUGACUUUUCAUAAAUACAAAUGAUUCAUUAUUAUACAUAGAAAAUUAUCCUGUGAAGUAAAGCAACAAUUGCAAACAUCCUAGUACUAUCAUUGUGAGCAUACAGCUAAAGAUAAACAACAUUCAGUGAACAUACUUGCUCUUUUUUUCCUUUUGUUAAUAAGUAUGUUCUUUGUUCCAAACCUUGUUUGCUCAGAUUAUUCAUAUAAGAAGAGAAGUUAUUUAUUGGAGGAAAAAAAAACUGUUUUGCUACUGUUUGGAAGGCAGAUGGAAAUGUUGGGAGUAUCAAUGCCAGCAAAUCUCACAUGUGUUACAUCAACGAACUUGAAAAGUAGUGGAUAUUCUAACGGCUCAAACCACAUAAUCUUGGAAGAAUCAGGCUGAGUUAGAUUGGACUAGAGGAAGAAGCAGUGUCAUCAAUACCAGAAAAAAAAAAAAAAAAAGAUUCACCAAUAACAACAUCAGCGUUUUGAGUAAUUGAAGAAGUAAAAUGUGGAAAUCAGCAUCAAGCAGCUUAAGUCAGGAACGAUGACAGCACACUGCCAAGUUCAGCUGGAAUGAGGAGAUUCAUCAGCCACCCUGGAGCAGUAACUCCUGUUAGCAACUCCACCAAGCCUCCACAGUUGAUAAAUUCCAACCAAGAAAGACUGAAAAAUGUAAUUAAUGAACACAAACUAUUAUAUAUAGCCAUACACAUAUUAAUAUAUAUUUUCUAUAAAAGCAUAUAUAUAAUAUGUACACACACAUACAUGUCACACACACACACACACACACACAUAUAUAUACACAAAGAGAGAGAGAGAAAGGUAUAUAUAUUUAUGGACAAAAUUUCUAUAUACAAUUAAUCCUCAUUAUUUGUGGGUUCUGUAUUUGUGAAUUUGCCUACUUCUUAAAAUUUAUUCGUAAUCUCGCAAGUCAGCAGCAUGUUCAUGGUCAUUUGCAGACAUGUGCAGCGUGGUAAAAAAAAAAUUGAGUGUCCUGAUGCACAUGUUCCUAGUUGAGGUCAAACAAGGCCACACUCUGCCUUCUUGUAUCAGCUCUUAUAGCAUAAACAAGUGUCCCUUUCACAGUCUAUUUAAUGCCGUAUUUUGCUACUUCUGUGCUUUUUCUUGGUGAUUUUGCUGUUUAAAAUUAUCUCCAAGUGUGCUGCUGAAGUGCUUUGUAGUGUUCGGCAGCACACGAAGCCUGUACUGUGCUUUAUGGAGAUAAGCGUCAUUGAGGCAUGAGUUACAGUGCUGUUAGCCUGAGUUCAAUGUCAAUGAAUCAACAACAUAUACUAAACAAGGUGUCUUUAAACAGAAACACACACAAAAUAAAGUUAUGUAUUGAUCAGUUGAUGAAAAUAUUGCUAACAGAGGCUUGCAGAAAGAUAACCCUGUAAUUCUCCUGGGAGAAAUGGUUCCCUAUUCACUAAUUCAGUGUUCAUAGUGACUUUAUAGAACAUAAUAGGAACUGACUGUGUGUCUUCUCACACAUACUCCCCACACAAUAUUACACAUACAGGAAUCAGACACCAGACACCACGAAGAUGAUUUACAAAAAUAGAUCAUGUAUUUGACUAUAAAGUCAAUCUCAAUAAAUUGCAAAAAGUUAAUAUCUUAUCAACUAUGGUUUCCAACUCUAAUGCAAUAAGUGUAAAAAUUAAAAAUAAAAUAGGAGUUGUAAAGUAGCAUAUAUUUGGAAAUAAUAUGAUUACAUAUUUGAUACUGUGUUUAUAUUACUAUUUGGAUAUAUAGUAUAUCAUGAAGGAAAUAAAUAUUUGUAAUUAAAUGAUAAAAAGGGUUAUGUGCCAAAAUUUAUGAAAUGCAACCAAAAAAAGAAUGCAGAUUUAAAAUUAUAGCCUUAAAUACAUUUAUUUUAAAAUUAUAUUUAAAAUAGUGUUUAAUCACUAUACAAAAAAAUUUUAAACUAAGGACAAAAGUAUGGUCUGAAUAAAAGGAGAGAGAUCUCGUUUCCUUAAACAGGACAACUAAUGUCAAUUCUCCUUAAUUAAUGUAUAAAUUCGACGCAAUCCCACUCAUUUCCAGCUGGAUGUUUUGAUAAAUAUACUUACAAUUUAUAUAAAAAAUAAAAGACCACAGAUGCCUCUAAGACAAAUACAUAAAAAAAAUAAUGAGGGGAGAAUUUUUCAACUAGGUAUGAAGAUAAACUAUUAGGUCAUAGUAAUAAAAGUCAUACAUUAGCACAAGAAAAGACAAAUGGAUCAAUGGAUCAGAAAAGUACUCAGAGAUAAAUGAAAGUAUACCUGGAAAUUUAAUAUAUUAUUUAAUUCAAAAUGGAAAAGAUGAUUUGUUCUUGAAUAGUGUAAGGGAAGUGGCUCAUUUUGUGGAGCAAAAUAAAACUGGCUUGCAAGAUUGCAUACAAAUUUGGACCCCCGGAUUUAAAAUCUAUCAAGUUAAUAGAAAACAUAAAGAAAAAUGAGCUCGCAUUUAUCAAUGACAGUUUCUUUUUUCUUACUAGAUCUGUAACUUUUGUAAAUACACAUAGCAUGUAAUGGUAUCUUAAAGUGUGUUUCUAUGUGACAAUUUUGUACAAAUUUGUUAUUUUCCAUUUUUAUUUCAAAAUAUACAUUCAAACUUAAAAUUAAAAAAAAAAGAAAAAAGAAAAAUGUUGUCACUGAAAUUGGUAAAGAAGAAAAUUUUAAACAAAAUUUUAAAAACACAAAUCAUCAUACAAAAUAAUUAUGAAUGGACAAAAAAAGACAUACGAUACACUGAUGGAAUAUACUUGCAAUGUGGAAAAACUAUAGUAUUCAAAAAAUUUUAAGAAAUCCUACAAGCCAACAAAAAGAGAUAGGAACUCCAAUGUAUACAUAUAUCAGAACAUCAAAUUGUACACCUUAAAUAAAUACAAUUUUUAUUUAUCAAUUAUACCUCAAUGAUACUGAGGAAAAAAUAAAAAUGAUAUGAAUAAGCAUUAUACAGAAGGGGAAACUUAAAAAGGACACUAACAACAUAGAAAUAUACUCACAUUCAUUAGCCAUUAGAACAUGAAAAUUAAAACAAUGGUGUAAUAUCAACAUGCUAUCUCUUUAACCUGACAAAAAUUACAAACCUGAAAAACACCAAAUGUUGGUGAGGAUAUACAGGUACAGAGGCUUUCAUGCAUGAGAAUCUUGUCUGUUGCCAUACUAAGGAGUAGUCUGGCAUUGUUUAGUCACGUUUAGUAUAUUUACACCUCAUGGUCCAGCAAUCCCAAAAUUCUAACACAGGGUUAAGGAAGUUUAUUCCAGUAUAAUUUGCUGUUUCAGAACAUUGCAGGCACUUAGCAUAUCCAUCACUGGGAGAGCAGAGAGGUAAAUUUGCAUAAAUACACAUUCCCACAGUUCUAUGCAGUGGUUAGAAGCAAUGGGCUGAAUAUGCACCUAGACACAGAGAUCUUAAACAAAAAAAAAAAUAGUACUGAGUAAGAAAAAGAAAAGGGAAAAAGAAAGGAGAUACACAGACAAUACCGUUCAGAAAAAUUAAAAAUGCAUGGAGACAAAACAUGGAUGCACUAACAUGGACCAAUGAUGAUAAAGUGCUAUGAACUAGAGGAUAUAAUUCAUUCAUUCUUAUCCAACAAAUUUACAUACAAUUAAGUAACUUUAAACAUUAUAUUAGAAACUAUAACAUCAUCAUAGGCCUCUAUCUCCUAAAGAUAUGGCAUUUUAGUGGUACACAGUGGUCUUUAUAAAAAGAAUAUCUGGUCAGAGAAAACCACUCAGUAUGUUUUCCACGUAUCCAUUCAGACUCUAAUAGAAGUAUUUAGUCUAGAUUUGGGGUCACAGCUUCACACAGAACAUUGAUGAAAGAAGAGCAUACCUUGUGCAGAUCUUGGUGGAUGAGAGAACUGCAGACUACCUAAUUUAAAGACCAAGGGAGUAAAUGGAACCAUUUUACCUGAAAGCAUAGACAGUAUAUGUAUAUCUCUUCAAUUAAUUUAUGAGCUAUCAUGUAGAAGAGAAAUAGGAAUUGCAUGUUGCAUCCAGGGGUAAAAAAAAAACGGGGACCCUAUAGAUGAGUAAAUUUGGGGUAAGAACAAAAGAAAUUUUUAACAACGAGAAGAGUCCAAAAUGGGCAUUGUUACAGAAGGAGUUCUCUGCCUAGCAUUUUGCAAGCAGAAGGUAGACAUCAUAUGUGAAGAAUGCACAAAGAUUCCUGCCUUAGAAUAGAGUGUAAAGGGAGUGGCCUGUAAUGCCUCUCUACUAUUUAAAAUUUUAUCAAUUUAAACAUUUUAAAAGGUAAAGAAAAAUUAAAUAUUAAGUACUUUUCUUUCUUUUCCACAAGUUUUGAUCAAGCAAUGACUUGUGUCUAAAUAAGCUACUGAGUCAAAAAAGGAAAACAAAAAACAAUCCAAGAAUAAUUCAAGGAUGCUCUUUCUUUCUGGACUAUCUGUAAUGCCAGUGUGUCUCCCUUACUCAGUAGUAUCUAUUGAAGUUAGUAAGGAUAUCUAGGAUGGCUCCAGGUAUUUACUCAUACGUCAAUCAAUUUUAAUACCUAUGAUUAGAGCUCUCCACAGUUAUGAUCAUGUACCACAGGCAUCUGUUUUUCUACAUCAGGUUGGAACAAACAACCCCAGGGUGUGAAAUAUUCAGAGGUGGAAACUCUUCAUAUUAAUAUUAUGAUUCGAAUUUCUAUAAUGAAAGUGACCAAUGGCCUUGUAAGACGAGCUCCCUCAGAAACUAUAUUAUUGCUAGCAUUCGUAGCAUUUGAACUGUUCUGACGGUAUAUUAGAGCACAAUGCCUGAAAGAUUAAUUUAUUCCUUUUUCUUCUUGUUAAGUCCUACUGUUUUGUUUUCCCUGCCCCGAUCAAAUUCAACCUGUACCCUAAGGUAUUAAGGCAUUCUUGAACAAGCCUUGAAUGCCAAAAUAUGUAAAACUUGAUUUUCUAAAUAAAAUGAGUUAUGAUGAACUUUAUGUCACAAUACCCUGCAUUCUUUAAAAUGUAUGCUAACCAUUCUUAUUUAGUACAAAUGUAAUGAUUUAGUUGAAAAUAUAACUCAAGAUUAGAGACACUAUUUUCUUCAUUUACUGGUCAAAAACACUAAUGCUUGGUUCUUUUUUACUCCUGGUUGAACAUCUUACAUAACAGCACUUCUCAUUUUACUAAACUUAAUGAAAGGAUCAGAAACCAAUCUGUUAAGGAUUAUGAGAAGAAAAUAAUGGCAUCACUAAAACAAGAUUCAUGAUAUUAGAUGCCUAAGCUGAAUAUGCACUGCUGAAUUCAGAAUUGUCCUAGGGGAAAAGCAACAGAACAAUUGGUUGAUGGUCAGGGGUCAGCAAACGAUAGACCUCAGGCCAAAUCCAACCUUAUAAUAAAUAAAUAUUCUUGGAACACAGCUGUGCUCAUUCAUUUACAUAUUGUCUAUGGCUGCUUUGGUGCUACAACUUCGUUGAAUAGUUGAGCCUGAGACCACAUGGCUUGCAAAGCCUAAAAUAUUUAAUAUCUUGCCCUUGCGGAAAAACUUUGUCAAUCCCUGCCCUGGGUCCUCUGAAGACCUGUGAAGAAGACUGUCAGACUCUUAGUAAAUCCCAAGUAAUAAACACAAAUCAAUUGAGGUGAAUCAAAAGUACCACAAAACUAGGUAAAAAGGAAAGAUACCACAGCAGGACAGGGAAAUCAUCUAUAAGAAAAGUAUUAGUGAGAGUUGUAUUCAUUCAUUCAUCCGAUGUGUAUGAUUAAGGGCCUACUGUUUUUUGGUCACUCUGCCAGGCCCUGGAGACACAAAUGAGAACAAAGAAAAUAUAAUUUCUAUCCUCGUAGAGCUGGAUAUGGAAUUCACAUAUUAAACAAACUCUGAAAUAAAUAUGAAACUACAAAUUCUUGUGAGUGCUAUCACUUACCACAGGGUGCUGUGAGAAAUAAAAGCUAACAAGUUUAAGGUGGACAUCUGCUAGUAUUUUUUUUUCCCUGAAUUCAUUUCUCCAUUUGGGUAAUGGUAACAGUAACCCUCUUCCUUUGGAAAACAUCUAUUCCACUCUAAACUUAGAUUUCUGGAAAGGCUUGCAAAUCCACACUUUCCAACUCACGGAGUUGGAAAGAUUAUGCCAGCUAGGUGAGUUGGGGUAGCCCAAGCUCCCAGUUAUAGCAAUUGGUGCAGGAAGAGUCCAUGACCCAAGUCUACCCAAUCACAGGCCUUUUUCAGCAUGCGUUUAUAGUGAAGAAGAGAAGUUAUCUUUUUUGUUUCCUCUUCGGUCAUGAUUCAAUGAAGAUUUCAGCCCCCAGCUGCCAGGGACCUUAUUCUCUUUCAUGUGAUCAUGGAGAGAGACAUGGACAGACAGAAAGAGAGAGACACAGAGAGUGGCCUCAUGGGAUUUGAGGUCCUGGAUACAACUGACCGUGGAGCCGAAGACAAACCACAUGUGAUCAGAAGAAAGAUGGAUUUCUCAUGUAAGAUCUCAGGGUAAAUUGCCCCAGGCAUUCAUAAAAAGAGAAUAAUUGUUCUUGCGAUAGUUUACUGAGAAUGAUGGUUUCCAAUUUCAUCCAUGUCCCUACAAAGGAUAUGAACUCAUCAUUUUUUAUGGCUGCAUAGUAUUCCAUGGUGUAUAUGUGCCACAUUUUCUUAAUCCAGUCUAUCAUUGUUGGACAUUUGGGUUGGUUCCAAGUCUUUGCUAUUGUGAAUAAUGCCGCAAUAAACAUACGUGUGCAUGUGUCUUUAUAGCAGCAUGAUUUAUAGUCACUUGGGUAUAUACCCAGUAAUGGGAUGGCUGGGUCAAAUGGUAUUUCUAAAAACCAAACACCGCAUAUUCUCACUCAUAGGUGGGAAUUGAACAAUGAGAUCACAUGGACACAGGAAGGGGAAUAUCACACUCUGGGGACUGUGGUGGGGAGGGGGGAGGGGGGAGGGAUAGCAUUGGGAGAUAUACCUAAUGCUAGAUGACGAGUUAGUGGGUGCAGCGCACCAGCAUGGCACAUGUAUACAUAUGUAACUAACCUGCACAAUGUGCACAUGUACCCUAAAACUUAAAGU
Pan troglodytes (chimpanzee) is the source of this 31943-nucleotide RNA transcript. RefSeq lists it as uncharacterized. Lineage: Eukaryota; Metazoa; Chordata; Mammalia; Primates; Hominidae. The transcript has 10 exons. The record is from RefSeq and is a predicted model, not a curated record.